GACGAACGCUGGCGGCGUGCUUAACACAUGCAAGUCGAACGGAAAGGCCCUGCUUUUGUGGGGUGCUCGAGUGGCGAACGGGUGAGUAACACGUGAGUAACCUGCCCUUGACUUUGGGAUAACUUCAGGAAACUGGGGCUAAUACCGGAUAGGAGCUCCUGCUGCAUGGUGGGGGUUGGAAAGUUUCGGCGGUUGGGGAUGGACUCGCGGCUUAUCAGCUUGUUGGUGGGGUAGUGGCUUACCAAGGCUUUGACGGGUAGCCGGCCUGAGAGGGUGACCGGCCAAAUGGGGACUGGGAUACGGCCCAAGCCUCUACGGGAGGGAGCAGUGGGGAAUUUUGAAAAAUGGGCGGAAGCCUGAUGCAGCAACGCCGGGGGCGGGAAGACGGCCUUCGGGUUGUAAACCGCUUUCGCCUGGGAAGAAGCGGGGGGGACGGGAAUGGGUAAAGAAGCACCGGCAAACUACGG
RNAcentral lists this ribosomal RNA (467 nucleotides) under uncultured bacterium. RNAcentral describes it as "partial 16S ribosomal RNA". It matches the Rfam family "Bacterial small subunit ribosomal RNA", at positions 28 to 506 of the family's 1533-position model. The record is from RNAcentral.